AAAAAAUCAUUUUAAAAUUUUCAUGUUUUGCAUUGACUUUGUAAAUUUCAUAACCUCUAUUUAUAUCGUUGAUAUUGCAUCAUUUUUGGCACUUUGUCAAAUGGGGUCAUCUGAUAUAUCAAAUUGAAGGUCUCAAUAAACUCUACUUAAAAAUGAAAAUUUUAAACCUCUUUUUCAUCCCAGGCGGAAGGGUGGGGUCAUUUAGUGCAAAAAUUCAAAUUUCGCAGAUUGUAAGGUUUUCGCAUAUCAAAUGAAAGAACAUAAAGCGUACAUUUCAAAUUUCAAAUUGACGUCCCCCAAAAAUGGGUUGGAUGGGGUCAUUGAGUGCAAACAAUAGAUUUUCUUUUACUAUAGGGUCGUUGUAUAUCAAAUGAAAGGUCAUACUGUGUACAUUUGAGAUAUCAAAUUC
RNAcentral lists this long non-coding RNA (409 nucleotides) under Mytilus galloprovincialis (Mediterranean mussel). The record is from RNAcentral. Lineage: Eukaryota; Metazoa; Mollusca; Bivalvia; Mytilida; Mytilidae.